Long non-coding RNA from Cavia porcellus (domestic guinea pig), 8523 nucleotides. RefSeq lists it as uncharacterized. Lineage: Eukaryota; Metazoa; Chordata; Mammalia; Rodentia; Caviidae. The record is from RefSeq and is a predicted model, not a curated record. The transcript is spliced from 3 exons.
UUUUUAUAUAACAGGAAGAAAUCAAAGUCCUAAAUAAAUUGAAAUUGGAUUUAUUCCUAAAAAUGUAAAACUCUAAAAGUUUAAUUAAUGUCUUUAAAAUGAAGUAUAACAGGCAAAUACAAGGUACCUAACACUAAAAACACUGUCCUUUAUUUUUAUUACAGAAAUUUAUUCUAUCUUUGUAAGGAAUGCAAAUGAUUCAGAGUAUCAUACAAAAAGCCCUUUUACCCAGCCCCACCAUCUCACUCUACAGAAAAAAUUACCGAAGGUAGAAUUGACUAUGCAUCUUCCUUAACUAUUCUCCACGCACAUACAUGUAGCCCUGUAUACAGUGUGUUGAACUGGGUUCCCUUGUCGUUCCCAGUCUAGGGAUGUAGCUCAGUGGUAAAAUGCUCACCGACAUGCAUGAGACAGCAAUCCCCAGCACCAGAAGAAAAAAAAAUUGAUAUUCAAAAAACACUAUCAAUACUCUUUGCUAAUGAGAUAAUAGUACAUAUCCUAAGCAUGAAUGUACUUAAGUAUUUAACAGUACAUAACAUGAAUGUACUAUUAUUUUUGAGAUGGAUUCUCUUAGUAAUGUGUACUGUUUCUGUUUUUUGGUACUGGGAGUCGAACUUUUCACACUUUCCAGGCAGCGCUAUGCCACUGAGCUUUAUCCCUGGCCCUGUUUGUUAUUUUUGAGCAGGUUUUUUCCGUGUUACUGGUUGGCCUCAAGACUCAGGACCCAAGUGAUCCUGCUGCCUCCGCUGCCUCAGUAGCUGAAAACUACAGGGUUUUACUCUGAAGUUCAGGCUGGCCUUGAACUCACAUUGUAGCACAGGCUGGCCUCGAAUUCACAGUGCUCCUCCAGCCUCAGACCAGCUUUGCAUCACAGUGAUCAGCUAUUUCUAAGAGACAAGAAGCGACUGGAACCUGGGCAAUUAAACUGAAGUAUACUGGCUGGGCAAGUUGUGGAGAGCAUUUUCUGCUACAGUACCACCUUUUGUAGUACACACUUAGCUAAUCAAGAGGCUGAGGAAGGAGAACUCCAAGUGUGAGCCCAGUCGCUCAUUGAAACUAGAUUAUUGGCAGAUGUUACGAUCAUCAGAGCUGUUGCUGUUGCGUGGCCAGAAUCUCACCCACCUGCAUGACUGUCAAGACCUCAAGCAAUAAACCUUACAGCAUAUCACCACUGUCUUGGAAGCCCUGCAGCAGACCAGUCAUGGAGCUUGCCAUCUAAUUAACAGCCAGGGUUUGAUUCAAUCACUGACAGUUUUUUCCUUACAGUGCUUGUUAUCCUAACAGCUACAACAUGUGUUCCUUUGGUUCAGGGACAGGAGUACUGGGCUCACAUACCUAAUCCACCUCUGAUCAGACCCUUUACUUGGAUGGACAGGCCACCAGAAAUUUUCCAUUCUGUAGAAAGCAAGAAUCCUACAUUUACUGUUAUGCCAGGCCCCAUUUUUUCAAGCAUCGACAAGAAGAGCUAAAGUAAAUAUUACCUCUCAUUUUGUAUAUUCUCCCUUAUGUGUAAUUCAACUACAGCAAGACUCUAACCCCUGUACGUCUGCUGUAAAUCAGGUUUGGAAGAUACAGCUGUCAAAGGAACCCUUUGCCUUACUGACCUUGACUUCUAUUCCUUCAGAUGGUAACUUUGUUGGAGAAUUCAAACCUAACAUUCCUAUCUGUAUUCCAGUAGCUCGCGCUCCUCGUUUCAAGGAAUGUGAUUUGGGCCCUUGGCAAUAUUGCAGAGAUCCAUACCAUGGGCAGAUUAUAUGCAAAUUCAAUUAUUCCUUUAUAGACUGGUGUCCCAGAGGUUUACUUACGAGAAAAAGUCAAGAUUGGCAUGAGAUUUCCUUUUCAGGCUCUCCUGACAAUACAAUGACCUCAGAAGCCUUAUCUAAUAUUACGUGGUCAGGUAAAGGCCUCAAUUCUCCUAUUCCUAGACUUAUUAUCAAUGACAGGGCUGGCCCCAUGCAGCACACUUUAUGGAAGCUAGCCUUGCCUUUUCAUGCAGGACAGCUACAGACUGGACAUCUGCAGUCACUUGAUGGAGGAAAAGUAAAAGUAGUGUUACAGAGUGAUAGGCAUAUAAGAAUAAAUGUAUGUGUUUAUGAUCCUUACGUACUGUUGAUAGGAAAGAUAGAAUGGCAACAAAAUAUGUUCUCAUGUACUAAUUGUUGUCUAACCCAUUGUAUCAUGCCUGAGUUUCUUUCUAAGGACUCCAUGAUAAUAGUCAUGGGCAGGAUGCCUGGAGUUUGGCUUCCAGUCAAUGUAAUGGAGCCUUGGUAUCACUCACCUACUUCCCUGUUGGUGGAGACCUUGAUCAAAAGAUUUUUUUUUUGUCUUUUUCCUUUUUACUGGUACCAGGGAUCGAACACUGCCUGCUUGCAAGGCAGGCGCUUAUGCCGCUGAGCUAAAUCCCCAGCCCCUUGAUCAAAAGAUUUAACAAUCGAACCAAGAAGAUGCUUGGGUUGAUUACUGCAGGGAUUACUUCCCUAGUUCUUUUGAUAGCCAGUGCAGCUAUUGGCUCCACAGCAUUAGCACAUUCAAUACAAACUGCUCACUUUGUAAAUAAUUGGACAAGAACUGCUUAUGAAAGCUGGAAAAUUCAGAGAGAGGUUGAUAUAAAGUUACAAACCCAAGUGAGCAUUCUAGAGACUUCAGUCUUAUGGAUGGGAUCAAAUUAAAAGCUUACAGUUACAACAAGGCUUAAAGUGUCACUAUUGAAAGGAUUUUGCCCCAGAUGGGACACUAGCGGGUGAGAGCCUGGGAGGUGGAACCAAGGGGCUCUAUCUUGAGAUCACUGUUCCCGCCCCUAGGCAAUUUACCUGUGGCACCAAAUGAAUUCCAAUGGGCUACCAGUGCAUCAGUAAUGCCCCUUAGGCACCACCCCAAACCUAAGCUACAUGUAUGCACCCACACCACGUGUCUGGUGGAGACAAUGCCAGGACCCGGAGGUCAUGGAGUCUUUCCCCACAUUCUUAAUAUAAAGGCCAUUUUUAUUUCAUGCUUCUUAAUCUUUUUAGCCAUGCUGAAAAUUCUAUCAGAUGGUUCCCUUCUGUGCCGAAAAUUCUAUCAACUAUAACCUUUAAAUUUCUGGUCCUUCACUGGCAGCAGCCUGAAGGUCGAGAGAGAGGAGCAAAGCCACCAAGGAAAGGACCAGGAACAAAAUAAACCCUUCAAAGUCAUUUUCCUAGUGAUCUCCAUCCCAUUAGUCCCUAGUACCUAUUAACUCUGAGGAGCUAUGACCUCGUCGGUAGAUUAAUCUAUGAAUUUAUAGCCUCAUGAUCCAAUCACUUCACAAAAUCCUCAUCUCUUAACACUGCUGCAUUGGGGACUGAGCCCCGAAACAAUGAGCCUUCUGGAAUGGGGGCAUUUCAGAUCCAAACCAUAAUAUUCUGUGUCUAGCCUCCAAAAGCUCAUCUCCUCACAAUGCAAAAUACAUUAGUCUAUCCCUGAGAGUCCCCCGAGGCUCCACAGUCCCAGCACUAGUCAAAAGCUCAAGUCCUAGGACUCCUUUGAGAUCAAAGCAAGCUUCACUGUGAGUCCUUGUAAAAAUUAAAAAUUAGUUAUAUACUCUCAAGAUACCAUAGCACAGGGUAAACACAUCCAUUCUAAAAAUGAACAAUGGAGGCACCAGAAAGAGAGCUGCGCCAAAGCAAGAUCAAAACCCUUCAUGAAGGCAAAUAUUAAACUGUCCAUUUCCAACAUCUGGGUCCCAGGGUGGCAUGGCCCGAGCUCAGAGGGCUUGAGAAACCCUGCCCCUAUGGUCAUGACAGUUAACAACCUUCAUGGCUUCCGUCUUAGGCUGAUUCUGCUCACUGCCUGUGUCUCAACAGACAUUCCAUGUACCUGGCAUCUCUAACUUCCUGGGAUUUCCAUUGUAGUUUCGGCUUUACUCUCCUAGCUUCAUACAUCACCCUCUUAGGGGCUACGAUAGGAACUCUAACUCUGCUAACAUUGCAUGGCCUCCCAGGUUUGCCUUUGAAAUCUCAAUGGAAGCCCUCCGGGCCACAUAACUCUUACAUUCUGUCUGCCCGCAAAACCAGGAUCACAUGGGCAACAUUAUAGUCUGUUGCCAGCUGGAGCAGUAGCUAGGCCCUCUUCAAGCAUGAUUGUGUGGUUUGUUUUGCCUGUUUUUGUGCUAGGGACUAAACCCAGGCCUUAUCCAUGCUAAACAGCCGCAGUGCCACUGUGCUACACCCCUAGCCUUAGUUCAGUGUAGUUUUAACCUUGAAAACUUUUAUUGUUCACUUCAUUAUCAAUUUCUUCAACAAAAAUGUAUACAUAAAUUUAAAAUGUUCCCACAAUUAUUUUGUAUUAAGUAUUAAUAGUAGUACACAGCCUAUCAAAAUGAUAUACACACAUGAUUUAUAGGCUUUGAACUAUUAGGGACUAAGAAUAUUUUUGAGACAUUAAAUGUAAAUUUUCACUGAAAAUGCAUCUUAUAAGGAAAAUGAUAGGGCUUUUCUGCACACACACAACAAAAAUAUCCAGUUCCUGUCAUUUGCUUCCUUAUUACCUAUGCUGACAUAGCAAGAUGUACAUUUGAUGGUAAUAUUGGAGUUGUCACUGUAGGGGCAAUGAGCCAUAGUUAAUCCUGGAAAUGACUAGGAAUAUUGCCUACUUUUAUAAAGCUAGCAGAAGGUCAUUGUGAAUAGGAUGUUUUAUCCUUACAGGUGAUCUUAGGCAAGUCAAUCUGAAGAAAGACUAUAGACAGAGUACAGACUGAUAUUAUCCAUGCUCAUGUAUCCUGAGAAAUCUUCCUGUACUCCCAGGAAGCCUUUGCUGCAUAAAAAUAGCAACACAUCUUCAUGCAUGCUCUUCCCAAUCUACUGUGUCUCAGUCUCUCUGUUAAAAUUUAAAAAAAACAAAACCCUACCUGAUCCUUCUGCUUCUAUUCUCACAGUUAAACUACAUUUUCAUCCUUUCCUCAGCCUGCCACACUCCCCCUGAAACUAAUCACCUGACGAUCAACCUACUACUACAAUUCCUUCUAUUGAUUAUAUCUGAGCUAUCAAAACCCUACUCUGUUGAUUCUCCUUAGGUUGCUCUGUGAUUCUCUUCUGUUUAUCAACUACUGCUCCAGUUAGAUCCAGAAGGUCCCCAGACGGCCCAUGUGUUAAAGGCUUGAUCCCUAGGGCUGUGGACGUAACUCGGUGACAGAGCAUUUGCUUCUCACAACUGAGACCCUCAGUUCGAUCUCUAGUCCUAAAAAAAAGGUGGGGGGGUUUGGGCCCCACCUUACCACUAUUAGGAGGCAGUGGAACCCUUAGGAAGUGGUGGGGGGUCUUAUGUCAUUGGGGGCGUGGAACUACAGCUCUCUCCCCUUCUGUUCCCCCUCCCUUCUCCAGCCACCAUGAGUAGCUUUGCUCCUCCACGUGCCCUCCAUCAUGAUGUAUUGCUUCACUCGAGGCCGAAAAGCUGCUGAAACCUCUGAAACUGUGAACCCAAAUAAAUCCUUCCUCCUUUAAAUAGAUUUUCUUAGGUGUUUUGAAACAACCAUGGAAAGCUAACACUUUCUUUCACUUAUUCUCUCUAGCUAUACCUGCCUCAUUUCACUUUUUAAUUUCUCCAGCUCACUGUUUUGUUGUCCACAUGGCUGCCCCUCAAUUGUGGCAAAACUCCAAAACACUCUUAAUAAAGUCCAACGCAUUCGUUCCUUUUGUUUUCUCCUUAGAGAUAAUCCUGGAACCUUCUCUCCACUUGCUUCAACCUACGCUCUCUGAAGCUGCUGCGCAAUUGUAAUUCUAAGAUGACCUUUUACUGUCACUGUGGCAACUCCCUGUUAACCUUUUACCUCUAUUGUCUUGGUUUAUACCCCCCACACACAUACACCUGUGUGUGUGUGUGUGUGUGUGUGUGUGUGUGUGUAAGGAUCAAAUCUAGUCUACUGUGUGCUAAGCAGGCACCAAAGCACUCUACUAUUGAGCUACACCCCCAACCCUGCUAAACUUCCUUUUUGUUUUGUUUUGUUUUUGGUACCAGGGAUCAAACUCACAACCCCAUGCUUGCAAGGCAGGUGCUUAUGCCACUGAGCUAAAUCCCUGACUCAGUAAACUUCCUUUGUAAUGAGCUAUUCAUGGUCUAGGCUUCAUGAACUAUGCACUCUAACACAAUUACUCAACUCUGCCCUGAGAGCAUGAUGACAGUCAUAGUUCAUAGGCAAAGCUGUGUUUCAAAAGUUUAAUUUACAAAGAGUUCUAAUGUUCUAUUACACAUAGGGUGACUUUAAAUAAUUAUGAUGGGUAUUUGAAUAAAGCUAGUUGAAAGGGUUUUGAGCAGAGGGGCACAUUUGUAAUCCUAGCACAAAGUGGUCAGAGGCCAUGAAUUCAAGGCCACCCUGGGCUACAUGCUGAGUUCGAGGUUAGCCUGAACUACAUAGCAAGACCCUGUCUCAAAACAGAAAAGAAAGAAAGCAAAGAAAUCAAGCAAGCAAAAAAAGAAAAGAAUGGGACUGGGGAUUUAGCUCAGUGGCAUAAGCGCCUGCCUUGCAAGUACAGGGUCAUGAGUUCGAUCCCUGGUACCAAUAAAGAAAAGAAAAGAAGCAAAGAAAGAGAAGAUUUUGAACAUUUCACACAAAAAAUGAUAAAUGUUUGAGGAGAUAGAUGUGUUUAUCCUAUAAUGACGAGACCCAUGCCCCGUCCCCUCCCACCCUCCCACCUGCAGUGUCUUGGUUGCCAUGCUUUACACAGCAUACACAAGUAUCAAAACAUCGCAUGGUAUCUCACAAAUACACACAAACUUUACUUUCUAGGGAAGGGUGGUAUUUUAAUGAUUUGUAAAUAUCACUAGUUUGGUAUAUUAUAGCUAAUCCACAUAUUUUCACUUCUCAUUGUAAGUCACCCUGCUGAUGGCUGUCUUUUUUGUACAAAUUUUAUGUGUCAAUUAUAAAGUAAAAAUAAAUACUUUUAAAAAUAUCUAAAUUAAGAUAACAAACUUGAUUUGGACUAAGGUCAACAGUGUAGUGUUCUCUGGUCUAGGAACUGCCUGAGAAAGGGGCCCUGGGAAGUAAAUGUUGGGGACCUUAUGUAUCUGAAGAUGUCUCUAAUCUACACUAAAAUACUCAAGGUAGUGGGAGAGAAUUCUUAGUUGGAAACAACUUCCCCUUCUCUGAUUUUGAAGGCACUAUUCAAUUUUUUCUACCUGCCAACUACAGACAAGUCUACUGGCAUUGUCAUGUGAUUUAUAUAUAUAUAUAUAUAUAUACAGUUUACAUUUUCUCUCUUUCUCCUUACAAGGUUUAAUAUUCCCUUCAUCCUAUUGUGCUUACUUUCAUUUAUUUUGCUGGGCACUCAAUAGUCCUAUCAAUUUCUGGGAAAUAUUUUCAAAUUUUUUAAAAUAAUUUUUUACUCUUCUUGAAACUGCUGUUAAUCACAUGAUAACACUUCCUUGAUUAAUCAUUUAACUUUUAUCUUUUGCCUUUAAUUUCUCGUGUAUUUGUCUUCUUUGUUUUUUAACUUUAUUAGUACAUGUACAUUCAUCAUGUACAUAACGUAUCUUCUUUUUAUUUCUCUUUCUCUCUCCUCUCUCUCUCUUCUAGUCUACUUUCUAAAAGGUUUAUCAACUUUUAUUGUCUUUCAACCCUAUCAGUGUUUUUAAAUUCCUGAAAUUUGCAUUUUAAUUUCUCUGAUUGUUCUCUUUUCAAAAGUGGCCUGUAAUUUCUUCAUGGAUAAAAUGCCUUUUAUCAUUGUCUUAAUUUUAGUUAUAAUUUUAUUACUGUUCUGAGGAUUUCUUUUUUAUUGGUACCAGGGAUCGAACUCACGACCGCCUGCUUGCAAGGCAGGUGUUUAUGCCGCUGAGCUAAAUCCCCAGCCCCCUGUUCUGAGGAUAUUAAUAGAAUUUUGGAAAUGUUCUUCUGGAAAACUCCUGCUUUGUCCAAGUUGUCUUUGUUUUUGUUGUUGUUGUUUGUUUAGAUCUCUGUCAUCAUAUUAGACACUUCCCUCAAAUGCUGGGUGACCCUUAGCUGUUCAUAUUGAAGAGUGAAGAGUUCAUAUUGAAGAGUCACUAGAAAACAGAUUGUAAUCUCUGCAUAUAGGGAUCCAGAGCUUUUUAACUGAGUCUUAGAAUGCUGGCUCUUAUUUAUUUCAUUGGAGCCAUACAAUAUUAGUACCGCUAGGCAUUUUUUCCUAGAUCAAUCCAUUUUCCCAGAGAGAAACUUUUGCUUGGGGAUUAGUAUAAAUGUGGCAGUCAGAACUCUGGAGUUGGGAGAUGGGAAGGGGCAGGGGUGUGGGUGUCUCAUCAUUAAUUGCUAAUUCUCCUAUUUCUGAUAAAUCGCAUUAUUCUUGACUUUAGCUAUGCUAUGAUAUACAGAGAUUUUUGCCAUUUGGGGGAAAAGAUUUAUAAUCUAAUUAGGAGUUAUUUCUAAUUCUCCUGUGUUAGCCAUGCCCUCAGAGAGAAAUUAUGUUAAAUGGAUUAUAACACAUUGAAUUUCAUUAAAAGAAUUAAUGAGUUCAAAAUGAUAUGAGAAAUGAAAAGAGGAUUGAGUCUGGCAAAGCUUUUUUUUUUUUAACAGAAGGUUGCCAGAUAAUACACAUAAAA